UAGGGAAUCUUCGGCAAUGGACGGAGGUCUGACCGAGCAACGCCGCGUGAGUGAAGAAGGUUUUCGGAUCGUAAAGCUCUGUUGUAAGAGAAGAACGAGUGUGAGAGUGGAAAGUUCACACUGUGACGGUAUCUUACCAGAAAGGGACGGCUGACUACGUGCCAGCAGCCGCGGUAAUACGUAGGUCCCGAGCGUUGUCCGGAUUUAUUGGGCGUAAAGCGAGCGCAGGCGGUUAGAUAAGUCUGAAGUUAAAGGCUGUGGCUUAACCAUAGUACGCUUUGGAAACUGUUUAACUUGAGUGCAAGAGGGGAGAGUGGAAUUCCAUGUGUAGCGGUGAAAUGCGUAGAUAUAUGGAGGAACACCGGUGGCGAAAGCGGCUCUCUGGCUUGUAACUGACGCUGAGGCUCGAAAGCGUGGGGAGCAAACAGGAUUAGAUACCCUGGUAGUCCACGCUGUAAACGAUGAGUGCUAGGUGUUAGACCCUUUCCGGGGUUUAGUGCCGCAGCUAACGCAUUAAGCACUCCGCCUGGGGAGUACGACCGCAAGGUUG
RNAcentral lists this ribosomal RNA (550 nucleotides) under uncultured bacterium. RNAcentral's name for it is "bacterial SSU rRNA". It matches the Rfam family "Bacterial small subunit ribosomal RNA", at positions 355 to 896 of the family's 1533-position model. The record is from RNAcentral.